Molecule: non-coding RNA, 24 nt
Filed under: Arabidopsis thaliana (thale cress)
Lineage: Eukaryota; Viridiplantae; Streptophyta; Magnoliopsida; Brassicales; Brassicaceae
Source: RNAcentral
GAUCGAGUGAAGCAAGCAAAUGAG